AUACUUACUUUGGAAGAGAAAUAUGGUCAUGAAGGUGGUUUUCCUGGAAUGAGCUUUAUCCAUUGUGUCUUAAAUGUGCCAAUUCCUGUGAUUUUCCCAGAAAAAUUCAACUGUAUGAUUUGUGGCAGUUGUGGCUGUGUUUAUACUUUUCUGGU
This 155-nucleotide small nuclear RNA is filed under the name Octodon degus (degu). Its description in RNAcentral is "U1 spliceosomal RNA (ENSODEG00000021043.1)". It matches the Rfam family "U1 spliceosomal RNA". Rfam says of the family: U1 is a small nuclear RNA (snRNA) component of the spliceosome (involved in pre-mRNA splicing). Its 5' end forms complementary base pairs with the 5' splice junction, thus defining the 5' donor site of an intron. Lineage: Eukaryota; Metazoa; Chordata; Mammalia; Rodentia; Octodontidae. The record is from RNAcentral.